RNAcentral lists this ribosomal RNA (1376 nucleotides) under metagenome. Its description in RNAcentral is "bacterial LSU rRNA". It matches the Rfam family "Bacterial large subunit ribosomal RNA", at positions 791 to 2187 of the family's 2925-position model. The record is from RNAcentral.
UAGAAGUUGUCGGAUGAGUUGUGGUUAGGAGCGAAAGACUAAUCAAACCCUGUGAUAGCUGGUUCUUUCCGAAAUAUAUUUGGGUAUAGCGUCGGAUGCUGAUGAGUGGAGGUAGAGCACUAAAUAAGCUAGGGCCCCUACCGGGGUACUGAACUUAAUUAAACUCCGAAUACCACUCAAUGAAGUCCGGCAGUCAGACUGUGGGGGAUAACCUUCAUAGUCGAGAGGAGAAUAAUCCAUACCAUCAGUUAAGGUCCCAAAAUAUGGCUCAGUGAAAAAGGAUGUGAUUUUGCUUAGACAAUGGGGAUGUUGGCUUAGAGGCAGCCAUCAUUUAAACAGUGCGUAACAGCUGACCCAUCGAGCGAAAUUGCGCCGAAAAUGAUCGGGACUUAAGCCAUAUACCGAAGCUAUGGGUGCACCCUAAAAAGUGCGCAGUAGGAAAGCGUCCCAUGUGCAGCGAAGGGGAAGGGGUAACCGACUCUGGAGCGCAUGGGAGUGAGAAUGCAGACAUAAGUAACGAUAAAGCCGGUUGAAAUCCGGCUCGCCGAAAUCCCAAGGAUUCCUGGGGAAGGUUCGUCCGCCCAGGGUUAGUCGGGUGCUAAGACGAGGCCGUAAGGAAUAGUCGAUGCCAAGCAGGUUUAAUAUUCCUGCACCACUGUAUAUACGUUCGACCUAAGGAGUGACGGAGAAAGUUAAUUCAGCGACGUGUUGAAUCGUCGUCUAAGCUUGUAGGCUGCUCGGGGAUAAAAGACCGGGUAAGGCUAAAGAGCAAUGGGACCUUGAGGCUACGGCCGAUGGGGAUUGAAUGAUACUCGGCUUCCAAGAAAAACUUCGUAGUUAGUAUAUGCGGUGCCCGUACCGUAAACCGACACAGGUGGGAUAGAUGAGUAUUCUAAGGCGCGCAGGUUAAAUCUCUCUAAGGAACUCGGCAAAUUAACCCCGUAUCUUCGGUAGAAGGGGUACCGCGCAAGCGGUCGCAGUUAAUUGCGUCAACCGACUGUUUAGCAAAAACACAGCACUCUGCUAAGUCGCAAGACGACGUAUAGGGUGUGACACGUGACCAAUGCGGAAAGGUGAAAGUCUUGGGUGCAAGCUCAGGAUCUAAGCCCCCGUGAAUGUCGGCCGUAACUAUAACGGUCCUAAGGUAGCGAAAUUCCUUGUCGGGUAAGUUCCGACCCGCACGAAUCGUGUAACGAGUUGACGACUGUCUCGGAGAGAGGCCUGGUGAAAUUGUAGUGGCGGUGAAGAUGCCGCCUACCCGCAGCAGGACGGAAAGACCCUAUGCACCUUUACUGUAAGCUGUUAUUGUCGCUUGAGUUUCAAUACGUAGAAUAGGUGGGAGACUGCGAAGCCCGGUUCCAGGAUCGGGCUGAGUC